This 510-nucleotide long non-coding RNA is filed under the name Homo sapiens (human). RNAcentral describes it as "non-protein coding LINC01591:8". The record is from RNAcentral. Lineage: Eukaryota; Metazoa; Chordata; Mammalia; Primates; Hominidae.
GUCUCUGCAUUUGUCCGCGUUCUUCACUGUCAUGUGGCUCCUCCCGAUGUGAUAGCAAAGAUGCCCGUGGACAAACCAGGCUUGGGUCCAUCAUGUUGGCAAUCUGGAGGAAGCCGAGCACUUUUUCUCCAACUGACUCAGUCCCAGGACUGGCUCUCAUUUGCCCAGCUUGUGCAGUGCUCAAUGUUACAGCUUCAAACAUAGAAGAUACAAGAAGUAAAUGCUGAGAUUUCGCUAUUUGUUAACCUAUCAUGUGAUGAACCUAUACAAAUUGUGUAAAGCAAAUGUUUUCAGGCAUUGGAUGUCAAGCAGCACAGGACUAUCAACCUGAAGGAAAGAGAAUCACACAAGAUGAGCCUCAUAUUUAUCCUGGCUUUCCGCUUCGGAGCACUCUCUCAACUUCAACACAGAGAAGUGAAACCCAAGUGAAAGAGUAUUGCUAAACCAAGGAGGCAGACCUCAUGUUUGUUCAAGAGUACCCAAGAGAUAGGAUCUGUAAGAGGCACACAG